Long non-coding RNA from Bombus pyrosoma, 938 nucleotides. RefSeq lists it as uncharacterized. Lineage: Eukaryota; Metazoa; Arthropoda; Insecta; Hymenoptera; Apidae. The transcript is spliced from 3 exons. The record is from RefSeq and is a predicted model, not a curated record.
UAGUCAAAGGAUAGUCGAAAGCUAGUAUCAAAAAAGUGUGUAUUUAGUUUUAGUUUGUAGAAACUAUUAAAAUGAUAAAAAUGGAUAUCGUACAAAAUCGUUAAAGACGCCAAUUUACGAUAAAAAUUAAGAAAUUGUUCAAUUUGAUUUUGUUAUAAAGGAAAAACCGACUUCUGCUAUGUCAAAAAAUUGUUACCGUUUGAUUAACAUCCCGACACCUCGUCAAGUUAUAUAAAAAAUACGCAAGUCGCGCGCGUGCUUUUUCGUGCUUGAACUCCCGGAGAGUGAACAUGGAAAAAGAUCUUAAAUAUAAGUUUGAUUGAAUUUCCGGCACCUUGACGUAUGCAUGGUAUCAGGUAUAUAAGAAACACGCGACUCGCGCGUGAGCUCUUUUGUGUCUGAACCCCCGUGCAGCGAAGAUCGAACAAGAACUUCUACGAAUUAAGUGUAACUAUUGAGCGUCUAUGGAUGGAAAGUAAUUCUUUGCGUCUACUCAAAGCCAAGGAAUCAACACCGUAUUCAUGGAAUUGAAGAAACAAGUGCGAUUUAAUCGGAAACAACGAGAUCUCAUCAUCCAUUUAUAGGUGCUACAAUUGAUAAGUCGUGUGCUUUGGUUUCUUCGAUGAUAAGUUCAAUAUUUAAAUAUGAUUUUGUGGAACCAUAUACUGUCUCUAUUGUAAUUAAUAAAUUUCAAUAUACGCUACUUCUUUGUUUUAAAAUAAUUUUACGUUUUCCCCUUCCGAUGCUUAAAAACUCUUUACCUAAAUGGGGGACGAGCAUAGUUACCUCUCUGUGGUGACUCCCGGUAGUUGGUAUCGUUUUCGAAAUAAUGAUACAUAAAGUACUAUUCUGAAUAUUAGAAAAUUAUUUUUGGAGAUCGAUGUGAAAUGUUAAAUAACUCAUGGGUGUGUCUCUUGCGCAGUCACCUGCGUGGUGAG